GCACGCGCCGCCACGCCUGACUGGUUUUUGUAUUUUUUUGGUGGAGAGGGGGUUUCGCUGUGUUGGCCGGGCUGGUCUCCAGCUCCUAACCGUGAGUGAUCUGCCAGCCUCGGCCUCCCGAGGUGCCGGGAUUGCAGACGGAGUCUCGUUCACUCAGUGCUCAAUGUUGUUGCCCAGGCUGGAGUGCAGUGGCGUGAUCUUGGCUAGCUACAGCCUCCACCUCCCAGCCGCCUGCCUUGGCCUCCCAAAGUGCCGAGAUUGCAGCCUCUGCCCGGCUGCCACCCCGUCUGGGAUGUGAGGAGCGUCUCUGCCUGGCUGCCCAUCGUCUGGGAUGUGAGGAGCCCCUCUGCCCGGCUGCCCACUCUGGGAAGUGAGGAGGGCCUCUUCCCCGCCGCCAUCCCGUCUAAGAAGUGAGGAGCGUCUCUGCCCGGCUGCCCAUCGUCUGAGAUGUGGGGAGCGCCUCUGCCCCGCCGCCCCAUCUGGGAUGUGAGGAGCGCCUCUGCCCGGCCGCAACCCCAUCUGGGAGGUGAGGAGCGUCUCUGCCCGGCUGCCCUGUCUGAGAAGUGAGGAGCCCCUCCACCUGGCAGCCACCCCAUCUGAGAAGUGAGGAUCCCCUCCGCCCGGCAGCCGCCCUGUCUGAGAAGUGAGGAGCGCCUCCGCCCGGCAGCCGCCCCGUCUGAGAAGUGAGGAGCCCCUCCGCCCGGCAGCCGCCCCGUCUGGGAAGUGAGGAGCGUCUCUGCCCAGCAGCCACCCCUCUGGGAGGGAGAUUUUUGGAUCCUAGGAAGAUUUCCUGCACACCUAGGUUAUAAGAGUAUUUACUAUUAUUUUCGUCUGGUACCUGUCUGUUUAGAUUUCUGAUCCAUUUGAAAUUUAUCCUGGUAAACAGUAUGAGAAACAGACUCAAUUUUAUAUUUUUUCAGAUGGCUAUUCAGUUGUCCCAAUUCUAUGUAUAUAAAAAUUCAAUUCCCCAUGCACACUUACCAAUUAAAAUUUAUUAACGUACUUGGUUCUAUUUCUAGACUUGAUUCUGUUUCAUUGGUCUACACGUUUAUGCACCAACACCACACUUUAAAUUACAGACGUUUUAUAAUAUAUUUUAAUAUUGGAUGGGGCUAACGCCCCACUCCACAUGGCACUAAAAUAUUUUCCAGUGAAAACUUUUAUUUAAGUAGAAUUAAGAUUACUCAGGCAU
Molecule: long non-coding RNA, 1192 nt
Filed under: Homo sapiens (human)
Lineage: Eukaryota; Metazoa; Chordata; Mammalia; Primates; Hominidae
Description: HSALNT0208232
Source: RNAcentral